This 15168-nucleotide long non-coding RNA is filed under the name Sorghum bicolor (sorghum). Its description in RNAcentral is "long non-coding RNA (SBIC_LNC012933)". The record is from RNAcentral. Lineage: Eukaryota; Viridiplantae; Streptophyta; Magnoliopsida; Poales; Poaceae.
GCGUAAUACCUACGUCCUGCGUCUGGUUGUAUUGAUUUGUGCUGAGAGAAUAUGAUGUCCUAGGGGGGUCCCUUGCCCCUCCUUAUAUAGUCUGGAGGGCAGGGUUACAGAUCUAGAAACUAAUCCUAGUCGGUUACAAUUGCCAUAGAUAAUUCGAUAUCAACUCCUAUUCUAACCGACUAGAAUUCUGCUUGAUCUCCACGUCUUGUUUCCUUGCGCGAAACUCCGGGCUGUCUGAUCAAGCCUUGAACUCGUCUCGUAGUGGGUCAAGUUUCCUGGCUGAAGUCUAGCCGUAAGGGUAUAGGGGUUUAUACCCCCACAAGCAUUGAGUGUGGUCAAGCUGUGUAGACCCUUAGGAGCUUGUCAUGUGGUUAAAUCAAGAUUCACUUGCACGUUCACUCACACAUGCUACUUCUACUCCGGAAGUACCAUCCACAUAUAUCCACCCAUUUCCAUCCCCAGAACCACCCAAAAAUAUUCUACUCCUAAUCCAGGAGAGAAUAGCCAAAAACAUUUCUGUUUUCCCCUGUGAAAUAAAAGCUCAAGUUAUCUUGGUUACUACCACUUGCUAUAUUAUAUCAGGAGAUGAGUGCUCUAAAAAAAAAGAAGAAAAAAAAAUAUAAAUACGAGGAAAUAAAAAGGGGCAAGUGCCCGGAACCUCGAAAGAAAAGAAAAAAAAAGCGAGACGAGAGGUAAAAAUGGACAAGUGUCCGACAGUAGAAUUAGUGUCUAAGUCGUUAAAGGAUAUGAUAUGGGAAGGUUGAGCUGCUGUUUAUCUGUUCCUAGAGAUGCUAGAAAUCUAGAGAAUUUUAUCUUUGAAAAUCUUUAAAAUGUUGCAUGAUGAGUUCCUGUAUGAUGAGAGUUUAAAUUCCUACCACAGCCAUAUAUACAAGCUUGCUAGACUUUGAGCCACACAUUUACUUUUUACUGCUUAUGAGCAUUGAGUGUGGUCAAGCUGUGUAGACCCUUAGGAGCUUGUCAUGUGGUUAAAUCAAGAUUCACUUGCACGUUCACUCACACAUGCUACUUCUACUCCGGAAGUACCAUCCACAUAUAUCCACCCAUUUCCAUCCCUAGAACCACCCAAAAAUAUUCUACUCCUAAUCCAGGAGAGAAUAGCCAAAAACAUUUCUGUUUUCCCCUGUGAAAUAAAUGCUCAAGUUAUCUUGGUUACUACCACUUGCUAUAUUAUUUCAGGAGAUGAGUGCUCUAAAAAAAAGAAGAAAAAAAAAGAAAAAUAUAUAAAUACGAGGAAAUAAAAUGGGGCAAGUGCCCGGAACCUCGAAAGAAAAGAAAAAAAAGUGAGACGAGAGGUAAAAAUGGACAAGUGUCCGACAGUAGAAUUAGGGGUACAAGAUACCCACCUGAGAGGAAAGAAAAAGAAAAUACAGAGCAUCUCAUUCUCCCAAAAAGUUUCAAAAGAGCAAGGAAGGUAUGUAUCCCCUCAAAAGAGCAAAAGUAGAAUUAGACUUUCACCAUUGUUAUCACCAUCAUCACCAUACACCAUUCAUUCGCCACAGAUGCACAUCUUGAUUUGACUUAUUGAUUUGUUUCUUUGGAUCCAUGGUUUGACUAUGCAAUAAAUGUCUUGUAAGUAUGUAUUAGCUGUCUCCCACCUAUGAGCUCCAGAUAUCAAAACCUUAUAAGAGUAGGGUGAGAGAGAAGGCAAUGCCACUAUGCCUUAUACCACAAAUACCACAUACUUUGAGAGAAGGCAUAUACCAAUACUGCCUUGUUAAGGAUCGAGAAAUACCACAAAAGAGAGACUAGAGAGAGUCAUACAAGGAAUCUCUGAGUUUUAUUUGAAAAUCUGCAAAAACUCCAGAGCCAUAGUUAAUCGAAGAACAAGAGACAUGGUGCUUGACUAGACUGUUCUAUCUUUUAACUACUCAAGACAGAAGUGACGAUUACAAGUCCCAUGGUGAAAGGUAAAUGAGUAAGUUUUAAGUCUUAACAUUUUACUCUAACCAGAGAUGAGAUCUUGUUUAAACGCAUGUGUAUCUUUAAGUUAUGAAAACACUGCAGAAACUCUUGAGUCCAUCUUUGCUCAGGGACGAGCAAAGGUUAAGCUUGGGGGAGCUUGUUGACGGUCCUUAAUGCUCACAUUUAACCAUCAACUAAUCAUGGAAAAUGAUCUAAAUGGAACCAACACUUAGACUUAGGGUUUUAUCUGACAGAAUUCCACGAGUUUUGGUGUUUGUCUAUUUCUGCAGGGGGUUAUCAGGAAAUAAGGAAGAAAGGCCCACACGUCGGGUUUACAUAGAGAUAUUAAUGUGCCGUGCAAUUUUCUACCAUCUAGAAGACUCCAGAAGCCACGGGAACGAACGGGAGACGUAAUGGAGCCGGGCACUGGGCACCCGCCCUCCCUUACUGGGCGCCCGCCCUCCCCCCGGACCAAACAGAGUCCAAUUCGGGGACAACACUCCACCGACCUAAUACUUCAAGGAAAACCACACGAUCAAUGUCGGUUUGAUCCGACGGCCCAGAUUCACUUGAAGGGACUAUAAAACCAGACCCCCCUAGCCCCUGGAGAUCAUACCUCUUCUACAGAAUCAAAGCUAGGGUUUCAAUUCUUCAUCCAAGUAGAGAGGAUCCCUCUAGUUCUUCUAGUUGUACCUCUAGUUCAUCUAGAUCUAGUUCUAGUUCAUCUAGUUCUAGUUCUAGUUCCUCUAGUUCUAGUUCUAGUUAGUUCUAGUUGUAAUCUAGAAAAUAGGGAGAGAGAAGAGGAGAGUGGAGGAGGAGCCGGAUCUGUCAGAUCUUCCUCAAUAUUAUACUUUUGCAACAACUGGUUCGUUCUUCAUCGUUCUCCAGGUUCUUCAAUUCAUAAUUCCUGAGUUCUUUAAUUACUUUUAUUUACAUUCAAGUUAUUUAUUGGAUUCCCGCUUGCAUCAAGUGCUCUAGUCUUUAUAACGCUAGAGUAGUAAUUAAUAGAUUAGACGUGGUGUUUAGUCUUGCAAUUACCUGGAAUUGCAACCAAUCCUGCGGAUUGUUGUGGUAGCCUUAGGGUAGUGACAGCCCUAACGGUCGACGUAUUCCACCUCGUUCGGAUCGGUGUUUGUAGGACCGUAGUCAGACCUUCCUAGCCCCCUUCUCAUCUCUUUUUGUGGUUAGUGCUCUGAUGUCCCGAUAUAGAUAAUCUUGAAGUAAUUCUUGAUUCUUAGAUCAACUAGAGAACUCUCAGGAAACUUCCUCUCUUCCCACCAAAAAUAAUUAUAUAGUUAUCCUUGGGCGAUCUUGGAUCUUAAUUAGUACACUCACGUUCUCUGUGGAAAAUCGAUACUCUGGAAUACUCCCGGGUGAAAGCUACAUCGGUAUCCGUGCGCUUGCGGAUUUUUCUGUUUGCGUUUAAAAUACCCAACAAUGAUCUCUAACAACAUGGUAUUCAAAUGUUUUUUCAUUCUAAGUAAUUUAGUUUGUCAUUCGACCAAGUUUGACCGAAACUCAUCUUGGAUUUUAAACACAGGUGCCUAGGAUUGGCUAAAAUUUAUCCAAAUGGAAAAAUGGACAAUGUAUCAAAUGUAGAUCUUGAUGAUCUCUAACAACUUUGUAUUAAAAAUUGUUUCAUUUGAAGUCAUCAAAUGGGUCAUUUGACCUAGUUUGAAGCACUCAAUUUAGAAUUUUGAAAGAAUUCAUAGCCACGCACCGGUUUUUCGAACCCAAGAGGGUCUCGACUGAAAAAGUCAUGAAUACCAAUUUUGCUCCACUCAUCAAGAUCUACAUUUAAUAUAUAGACCAUUUUUGCAUUUGACAAAGUGUUGGGAAGGUGUAGUUGAAAAUCUACAAUUCCACAUAUAGUUUCAUAUAGUUUAUGUGAGAUUCAGGAUUUGGUGAUUAUUGUUUUCUUAAACUUUCUCAAAUGCAAAAAUGGUCUAUAUAAAAAGUUUGGAUCUUGAUGAUCUCUAACAACUUGGUUUUCAAAUGUUUUUCAUUUUAAGUGAUUUAGUUUGUCAUUUGAACAAGUUUGACCAAAACCCGUCUUGGAUUUUAAACACAUGUGCCUAGGAUUGACUAAAAUUUAUCCAAAUGGAAAAAUGGACAAUGUAUCAAAUGUAGAUCUUGAUGAGCGCUAACAACUUUGUGUACAAAACUGUUUCAUUUGAAGUCAUCAAAUGGGUCAUUUGACCAAGUUUGAAGCACUCAAUUUUGAAUUUUUAAAGAAUUCAUAGCCACGCACCGGUUACCAUAACCCUAGAUGGCCUCAACUGGAAAAGUCAUGAAUACCAAUAUUGUUCCACUCAUCAAGAUCUACAUUUAAUAUACAGACCAUUUUUGCAUUUGACAAAGGGUUGGGAAGGUAUAGUUGAAAAUCCACAAUUCUCACAUAUAGUUUCAUAUAGUUUAUGUGAGAUUCGAGACUUGGUGAGUAUUGUUUUCUUAAAAUUUCUCAAAUGGAAAAAUGGUCUAUAUAAAAAGUUUGGAUCUUGAUUAUCUCUAACCACUUGGUAUUCAAAUGUUUUUCAUUUGAAAUAAUUUAGUUUGUCAUUUCACCAAGUUUGACCAAAACCCAUCUUGGAUUUUAAACACAUGUGCCUAGGAUUGGCUAAAAUUUAUCCAAAUGGAAAAAUGGACAAUGUAUCAAAUGUUGAUCUUGAUGAUCUCUAACAACUUUGUGUUCAAAAUUGUUUCAUUUUAAGUCAUCAAAUGGGUCAUGUGACCAUGUUUGAAGCACUCAAUUUUGAAUUUUGAAAGAAUUCAUAGCCACACACCGGUUUUUGGAACCCUAGAGGGUCUCGACUUGAAAAGUCAUGAAAACUAAUAUUGUUCCACUCAUCAAGAUCUACAUUUAAUAUACAGACCAUUCUUGCAUUUGACAAAGUGUUAGGAAGCUGUAGUUGAAAAUCCACAAUUCUCACAUAUAGUUUCACAUAGUUUAUGUGAGAUUUAAGAUUUGGUGAGUAUUGUUUUCUUUAACUUUCUCAAAAGGAAAAAUGGUCUAUAUUAAAAGUUUGGAUCUUGAUGAUCUCUACUUGGUAUUCAAAUGUUUUUCAUUUUAAGUAAUUUAGUUUGUCAUUUGACCAAGUUUUACCAAAACCCGUCUUGACUUUAAACACAUGUGCCUAGGAUUGGCUAAAAUUUAUCCAAAUGGAAAAAUGGACAAUGUUUCAAAUGUAGAUCAUGAUGACAUCUAAAAACUUUAUAUUCAAAAUUGUUUCAUUUGAAGUCAUCAAAUUGGUCAUGUGACCAAGUUUGAAGCACUCAAUUUUGAAUUUUGAAAGAAUUUAUAGCCACGCACCGGUUUUCAGAACGCUAGAGUGUCUCGACUUGAAAAGUCGUGAAUACCAAUACUGUUCCACUCAUCAAUAUCUACAUUUAAUAUAUAGACCAUUUUUGCAUUUUGUUGGUGCAAAAGUAGAUCUGCAAACACAGAGGGCUAAUACCCGAUUCAACGUUAAGGCGUGCCAGCCGAUUUGACCUACAAUCGACAAAGGUAGUAACUCGAAUACUUUGGUCCCGACAACAGCGAUGCGCCCGGAUGUUGUGGCCAAGAGGUAUUCAUGCGGAACUUGAGAAUUCGCCGAGGUUGACUCGAAGAAUUCCAAAGAACUCGUAGUAAAAGGAAAAUAUGCAAGUUGACGAAGUCGUCGAAAAAGUAGAUGUUGGAAUAGAUGUAAAAACUUGUGUUGGAUUGAUUGUGUAUAUUCAUUACAUCGCCAAGGGGCUUAUAUUUAUACCCUGUUCAAAAGCGUUACAACCAGACACAACUAGGUCUCCAAUUCCAAAUUGAACGAAAUCCGUAUACAAAACAAACUCUAAUAACUAUGGAAAACAUUAAAUUAUGUCCCACAACCGAUCGGUACACCACCACGACUCGAUCGACAAUUCAUGCGCCUCUCCUUGUGACCAUCGGCGAAUCACCUUCUGUCGGCAUCGGCAAUCAUCUACAUCGGCAUAGAUCAAUCACCACCCAUGGACUUGGCUGCAUCCUGCUGUUUCUCCAUCGGCACUAACCCCAUUGGCAACUCCUUUGAUAACCAGUCACCACUCUUUCAUCUACCGAUCUAUAUCUCAUUGACUCCUAGAUACACGUCCAAAGACACGUGUCUAAAAACGGUGUCAACACAUGCCCCCCAAAUUCGGAGUAUAAAAUCAUUAAUGCUCCGAAAUUCUCCUCAGUAAUGAUGCUUUUCCGCAAUUACUCCUUUCUGUCAGUAAUUAAUUACCAAAUCAAAACAACCUUAGUCUGGUUCUCCAACAUGCUCCUCGAAUCUCUCAACUUCUCGAACCGAAUCUCCCAAACAUACGUUCAUCGGCAACAUUUCUGUUAGAGAAGACUGCCGAUGAACCGACCAGGAGAUCUUGCACAGUAAGAUAUCUCCAAAAUCAUGACCGCUUGCUGUCAAAUCACCUACGUAAUGCUUUGAUUACUGUGUGAACAGUUACCAUAUCCACCUGAAGAGAUAAGUCAAAAUUGCCCCUGCCCUCUUUGUCCUAUAAAUACUUCCUUCUCCGGUACUCUUUCUCCAUCUUGUUGUUGACACUAGCUAACACCAAUUAGAUACUAGGUUGUCAUCCCCAGCAUGGUGCCAGAGUGUACAAAGGUAUUUAUAAAUAUGGAGGCUCUCUAGAAAAUAAUCUAUUCUAUCCGCAAGCGCACAGAUAAAACACCUCAUUGUAGCAUUUCACUAGGAUAAGUAUUCUAGGUAUCAUUAUUUAUAAUUUUGCUUAAGAGAACAAAAAGGAUGAAAUUAAAAUAAGGACAAAAUCUAUCAAGGCAUAGACUAGAGAUAAACUUGCAAGAACAUGAUUACUAAUGAGAAACUCAUCACACAGUCACUUACUUUGGAAAGGGGUAAACCAUAAAGAUAAUGAUAAUGAAUUAUAAGUUCAUGGGUAAAUAACACAGCGAUUAGAAAAUAGACUACUCCUCAUAUAUGUAGGUGACGUCUGAUUAGCUAGAGAAUGGAUUCAAAGUUAUCUACUAUCUACUAAGUCUCAAUCUACUCUAGUUAUCUACAAGAUCAUGUAUAGCAUAAAAGACUCUUCAUUCAUGUAUAAGGAACAUUGCUAAAGUAAAUCAGAACAUCGUAAGACUUACUCCGCAAUACAAAUUUUGCCUGUCCUAUCGACGGAGGGUGGACUAUAUAAGAAUCAACGAAGUUGUCACUAUCGCGAACGACCACACAACCCCGCCAAUAGGAUACAUUUGCAGGUAAAUAACAUCUAAGCACCAUGCCCACAUGUGAUCUACCACUUAACUCCCUCGAGUCAUAAGCUAAGCGCUUUGCAAACUUAUACAUAAACUCAUUAUCAAUCAUAACUAUACCAAAUAUAGAACUAGAGCAAACUAAGAGCAUAAUAAAUAGAGACAUAAUGUAAUUAGAACAAAUUAUUAGAGAAAGAUAUGAAUAAUACCAAUCUUUAUUACCAAAGAUCCGAAUCCAGAGCGUAGUGCUCUACUUCUCUAAUUGCUAUCUAAUCAAACCUCUAAACUGAAGGAUUAGGGAGUAGCUAAUUCUAAUUCUCUGUGGGAGAGAAGCUCUAAACCCUAACUUUGAUGGAUACCUCUGAUAAUGAUUUCUCCUCUUCUCUUCUCUCCCCCAGGGCUGGAGAGGCCUUGGUUAUAUAGUCCUUUCAAGUGAAUUUGGGUUGUCGAAUCAAACCGACAUUGAUCGCACGGUUUUCCUUGAUCCUUUAGGUCGGUGGAGCACGAUCCAAGAGUUUGGUUCGGAUUGGCCCCCAGACCUGGGCGGGCGCCCAAGGGGGGAGGGCGGGCGCCCUGCCCCCGAGCCCAUCCGGUCUCUCGUUCGUUCCCGUGGCUUCUGGACUCUUCUAGAUUGAGGAAAAUUGCGCGGCACGUAAUUAUCUCGUUGUAAACAUGACAUGUGGGCCUUCUCUCCAUAUUUUCUGAUAUCCCCCUGCAGAAAUAGAUAAACACCAAAGCUCGUGGAAUUCUGUCAGAUAAAACCCUAAUUCUAGAUGUUUGGUGCAUAUUGAUCCUUUUCCAUGUUUAUUUGAUGGUUAAUUUUAGUACUUAAGGACCGUCAACACUUGUCAUUCUACAUCCUCAAACUCACCUUCCUGGCGGUGGCACUGUUUGAGAAACUCAAGGACUCCGGCAAGGAUCUCCUCCAACAAUCUUCCGAGUCUUCGAUCCCUUCCUCCUCCCGGGAAGAAAUGGCCAUCAACUUCGUCGUCCCUGAGGUCAACUCAGCAUCCCCUUUCUUCUUUUCACCAUAUUGUUGAUCUUUCACACAAUUAUUUACUUGGUAUUUUCUUUCUUUCUCUUCCCUAUCUUUUCAACCUUCAAACCUUUAGGAAUUGGCCGAGAAAAUUGCUAUUCCCACCGAUCAACCCCACUUUCAAUGCCUUGGUCCAUUGGGAAACCCAGAUCCUACCGAUUUGAUAAAUGUAGAAACAAAUAGGAUCCCCUUUAGAGCUGAGAACUUCUCAUUAGAUCUGUGGAAAGACACCUUUCGAUCCUAGCCUAGUUCUACUAAGGGGUGGAAAGACUGGUUCCUGAGAAUCGGCAACUCAAAUGAAGUCCAAUGGGGUGAGUGUUGACGGUCCUUAAGUAUCAAAUUUAAUUAUCAAAUAAACAAAGAAAAGGAUCCAAAUGAAAUCAACAUCUAGACUUAGGGUUUUAUCUGACAGAAUUCCACGAGUUUUUGUGUUUGUCUAUUUCUGCAGGGGGUUAUCAGGAAAUAUGGAAGAAAGGCCCACACGUCAGGAUUACAUAGAGAUAUUAAUGUGUUGCGCAAUUAUCUUACAUCUAGAAGACUCCAGAAGCCACGGGAAGGAAGCGGAGGCCUAACGGGGCAAGGUACUGGGCGCCCGCCCAGUUGCCCUGGGCGCCCGCCCUCCUGCCGAGCCCAAUCAGGACUCUGUUUCGGGGAAGAUCUCCACCGACCAAAAGGAUCAAGGAUAACCGUUCAAUCUAUGUCGGUUUGAUCCAACGGCCCAUAUUCACUUGAAUGUACUAUAAAACCAGACCCCCUGGCCCCUGGAGGAGAGAGCCUCUCAACCAUAAUUCAUUAUUCUCAAGGGAGAAGAAGCCUCUGAUCAAGAUUAGAGCCACCACAUCAAUUAGACAUCUAGAUUAGCAUAGCUACAUAGGAUUAGAACUAGAAGGAGUCAAUCUUCGAUUGGUUUCCGGAUCUGUCAAGAGGACUCUUGGUAAUUCUCUAAUUGUGCUUCUAAUUGUUCUUCUAAUUAUCUUUGUUCUUCAAUAUUAUGAAUAUGACUUUGUUCUACUUCAAUAUAUUGCUUAUGACUUUGCUCUACUUGCUUAUAUUCAAGAUUAUAUUGUUCUUAGUUUAUCAUAGUUAUGUACUUGGCUUAGUUAGAUUGGAUAUAUAUACAUGCUUAGGAUCAUAUAGCGUUUAUCCAUCGGAUCCAUGGGUAAAUGAUAGAUAUUGUGUAGGCGUGGUGCUUAUACCAUAUUUUAUCUGCGAUUGUACCCAAUAUGCCAGAUCGUGGGGUAGUUCGUGAUAGUGACAGCUUCAUUGAUUCUUAUAUAGUCCCCCUCUCGUGUAUUGGGCUGGCAGAGCAAUAUUAUUACAUGGGAGUGAUUGCUAUGUUUCUCAUUUACCUUGCUAAUAUCACUAUGCAAAGGCGUAGUAUUGUCUCGCAAUGAUUGCUAAGUAUGCUUGCACUAACUAUGAUAAUGCUAGACUAUAUAGUUGAGAAUAACUUAGGAAAUAUUCUUGUAGUUCGUUCUAAUUCCAUGCUAAUGACUUUCUAGAGUAUCUAAUUGAGGUGCUUAUCAUAUUUAUAUGUGGCUAAGUUAUGAUCAGAUUAAUUAUCUUUGUCACUAUCAUUAUUUCAUAUAUCCUUUAUGUGACACUUACCCCUGUAUGAAAGAGUUAGAUACAAUGUUCUCAAUUAUACAUGCAAUGAUAGAUACUCAAUCUCAUAUUAUAUUCUGUAAUCAAUAUUGAUGAUUGUUAAUCCCUUCCCAGUGGUAAAAAUAUAAAUAACGAUACUUGGAAUACUUCCCGGUUAAAAUGCUACAUCGGUAUUAAUCUGUGCGCUUGCAGAUCCCAUUCAUUAUUUAUUUAGAAGAGCAAUUGCAUAUUUCAAUACCACGUCUCUCAUGUCACGCUGGGGAUGACAACUUGGCUUAAGUGGUAUGAGGGAUAGGUUUGGCAUUUUUGGCACCGUUACUAGAAUUAGAAAACUAAGUCUACUUUUGGUAAUGAUGUUAAGAAUACAUAACAAGCAUUUUUGGCGCCGUUGCCAGGGAAGGUUGAUUACUAAUCAGGAAUGAAUAAAGGAUUUUGAGUUAUCAUUCGCAUCACUAAUAUGAUUGAGCUUAUCUAUUCUCUUAUACACUUUUACCCCAAUAUUUUCUAUUUUAACUUAUGCAGGGGAAUGUAUGAAUAGAAGACAUCUUCUAGGAAAUUUUGUUGACAAUCCCGAAGCAUUAUUCAGAAAGACAAGAGCCAAGCUCAAGAAGAGAUCAUCAACACUUCAGCAAGAAGCUUCAUCCAAUCAAGAAGAUCACCGGAACUUGUCUUCAGAGUUCGAAGCCAUGGCGAACAAAUCAAUCUGCGAGUUCUCAGCUCCCACUAUGGACAAUAUCCACACUGGACCUACUGCAGAGAUCGAUGACAACUUUGAGCUCAAGCCUGGACUUAUCAACAUGGUGCAAUCCAACCAGUUCUGUGGGAAGGCACACGAAGAUGCUAGUGCUCAUCUCCAACACUUCCUGGAGAUUUGCAGCACAUUUACCAUAUCAGGAGUUUCCAGAGAUGCUAUACUACUUCGCCUCUUCCUAUUCUCACUAUUAGGGAGAGCGAAGCAGUGGUUCUACGCUACAAAGGAGAAGAAUACUACGUGGGCACUCUGCUCAACAAACUUCCUGGCUAAGUUCUUUCCCAUGGGCAAGACCAAUGCUCUCCGUGGGAAGAUUACAAGUUUUCAGCAACAAAAUAAUGAAUCUGUUCCAGAAGCAUGGGAGCGCUUCCAAGACUACAUCCUAGAAUGUCCCCAUCAUGGAAUGGAGAGUUGGCUAUUGAUGCAGACGUUCUAUCAUGGGCUCGGCAACAGUGCCCGAGAAACCAUGGAUGCUGCAGCUGGAGGAGCAUUCUUAUCACUUACCAUACCAUAAGCCACAGCUCUUGUGGAGAAGAUGGCGUCCAACCAAGGCUGGAAUGAAGAGAGGACCCAGACACGCAAGAGAGGUGGAGGUAUGCAUCAGCUCAAGGAGGUAGACAUGCUGUCUGCAAAGCUAGACCUGCUCAUGAAGAAGCUCGAUGAUAGAGUUGGAGAUAAGAAGGAAGUUAUGCACAUCUACGACUCUCACAUGACUUGUGAGGAGUGUGGAGAUACUGGACACUCAGGCAAUCACUGCCCUGAGAUGCUUGAGGAUGUGAACUACAUCAACAAUAACAACAACAACUACUACAACCGUCCUCAACAAAAUCAAGGUUGGAAUCAACAGAGGCCUAACUACUCAGGUAAUUAUCAAGGUAACAAUUCUUACAACAAUAAUAAUAAUUUUCCACCUCUGAGAGAGUUAGUGCCUAAUCAAGGAAAGCUAAUGGAUAACCUAUCUAAGAAAUUGGCAUCUAAUGAUAAAAUGCUAGAAAAUAUAAAUAAUAGAAUGGAUAAUUUCUCUACUACCAUGAAGAAUCAAAUUAGCUUUAAUAAAAUGAUUGAAUCUCAAUUAAAUCAAAUAGCUACUGCUGUUCCUGCUACUAACCCCGGUAUACCAUCACAGCCGGAAGGAUUAGAAUCUGCAAAUCUUGUAGACAUGUUUGAUGCAGGUAAUUGGAGUAACCCCAUCACUGAAUUCACUACUGACCUUCUACCGAUCAAGAGAGGUGAUCCAGGACACCCCGUCAUCCCGAUCACCAUCGGCAUGGUGGACGUCCCAGAAGCACUCUGCGACUUUGGCUCCAGUGUCAACAUUAUGCCCAGGGUACUCUAUGAAAAAUUCUUUACAUAUCCUUUAUUAGAGACAACCAUGUGUUUGUAGUUUGCAGAUCAGGCAUUAAGUUUUCCAAAAGGAAUAUUGAAGAACCUUUGUGUCCGAGUUGGUACCUUUUACGCCCUAGCAGACUUCGUGGUGAUAGAGACCGGUAAUGAUGAGAGAGCACCUAUCAUCCUAGGGAGGCCAUUCUUGAACACCUCGGGAGCUGUCAUCUACGCUAGUGCUGCCAAGAUCAGUUUCUACAUCAAAAGGAGGAAGGAGACAUUUUUCUUCAGGAACAAGACUACACAAAUCUCAGAUCAAUCCAGACAUAAAUCAAGGAAGAGGACCAACAGGAGGAACAGUAACAAGCAAGUGUGGACCGAGUCAGCUAAGAUGGUCACUGCAGUUCAUGGAGGCCAAGAUCAUCAACUUAAGUCACCAUUUUUGACCAAGAAGGACGACCCAGGAAUGCCAAGCAUCUAUUGCUCCAUAAAUGGAAACAACUUCUACAAGACGACUUGCGACACCGGAUCGGGCGUCAACAUAAUGGCUGCAGUCGCCUAUCGGCUCUUGUUCGGAACCAUGCCCCCAAAACCAACAUACAUUCAGCUCCAGAUGGCAGAUCAGACAUUUCGAGAAGUUAAAGGAACAGUAACUGAUGUCCCAGUCAAAAUAGACGAUCAUUUUGUCUACACAGAGUUUCAGGUUAUUGACAUGGGAGAAGAUGAGUACGAUCCACCCAUCAUCCUUGGAAGACCGUUCCUCAGCACCGUUAAAGCAAUUAUCUACAUUGGAACUGGAGAAGUCCAUAUGCACUUCCCCUCAGAGAAGGUACGCCGCUAUUUUACUAACCCUAAUUAUAUCUUUGAAGAAUCUAAGCAGGUAAGAAAACGACGCAACCGCAACCAAAGGAGGCAGAUCAUCAAGGACGGAUGGGCAGACUAUGAAGGAGAAGUUGUAAGGUCAGAAGACGUAGAAUUUAAACAGAAUUAUCCAGAGGAGACCGAAGCACCGAGUCAGGUAUGGAAAGAGAAGAUAACUAUACAUGAAGAGGAGGUGCCCCGGAAGUACCGACUCCACCACCCAACGAAUCCCAGGACAAUUGAGAAAGAGGAGAGUCCCGUUCGGAGGACUUAAAAAUACCGAACGCCUUGACAAGAGGUAAACUUGGUAGUUAUCUUUUUCCCUUUCAAUUAUUUAAAUAGUUUGCUUAGUUAAUCAUGUUUAUACCAUCCUAAAAAAAGAAAAUAAAAUUGUGAAAAACAGUAAGCCCCAUGUGAGUAUACGAGUGGCAUAAAACCCUAAGUACAUUCACUGUAGUGGCAUAAAAAUAAAAUAAAAAUUUCUUUUCUGCUUUAUAAAAUGAAAAUAUAAAAAUAGGGAGUAAUAUUUAUUAAGGAGACUCAACAUGAUAAAGGCUAGAUAUUUAUGCUAACACUUAAUCAAUUCCACAAGCUUUGUUGUCUAUUUGAGCUCCACAGAAUUUAAGAAUCAAGAAGACUAGCAGACGGAGGACAUUCUAAUCGCUGUCAGAAUGCUACUGACUUUCAAAUACACCUCUGCCACCUGCUAGCUACAUCAAGAGAAAUUACGACAAAAUUCUGCUUGGGGGAGAGCACCCCCAUUUAUCCCGAUAAGUAUUUCUAUCUAUCUUUAUACUUAUACUAUAUUAAAAUAUAGAUAUACAUAACUAUGGAAAACCAAAUAAAGAUUUUAUGCUUAUAUAUAUAUCUUUUGCUUAGUGUGUUUAAUAAAUAAAUAAAGAGGCUAUGCUAAUCUGUAUCUGAAUAAAACUCUAGCAUGGAUAUGAUGAAUAGUUGCUCUGCCUAAUUUGCACAUUUUAAGUUCUCUCUCAAGUUUAGACAUAACUGUUAUAAUUUAAAGCUUGCUCUAGACCUAAACUUGUGGGAUGAAAACUUGAUCUGAAGUCUAAGUUGUUAACGGAUAUGAUAUGGGAAGGUUGAGCUGCUGUUUAUCUGUUCGUAGAGAUGCUAGAAUUCUGGAGAAAUUUAUCUUUUAAAAUCUUUAAAAUGUUGCAUGAUGAGUUCCUGUAUGAUGAGAGUGCUUGCUUGCUAGACUUUGAGUUCCUGUUGAAAUUCCUACCAUAGCCAUAUAUACAUGCUUGCUUGAGCCACACAUUUACUAUUUACUACUUAUGAGCAUUGAGUGUGGUCAAGCUGUGUAGACCCUUAGGAGCUUGUCAUGUGGUUAAAUCAAGAUUCACUUGCACGUUCACUCAUAUAUGCUACUUCUACUCCGGAAGUACCAUCCACAUAUAUCCACUCAUUCCAUCUCGAGAACCACCCAAAAAUAUUCUACUCCUAAUCCAGGAGAGAAUGACCAAAAAUAUUUCUAUUUUUCCCUUGUGAAAUAAAUGCUCCCGUUAUCUUGUUACUACCACUUGUUAUAUUAUCUCAAGAGAUGAGUGCUCUAAAAAAAGAAGAUGAAAAAAAGAUACGAGGAAAUAAAAAGGGGCAAGUGCCCGGAACCUCGAAAGAAAAGAAAAAGUGAGACGAGAGGUAAAAAUGGACAAGUGUGCGACAGUAGAAUUAGGGGUACAAGAUACCCACCUGAGAGAAAAGAAAAAUAUAGAGCAUCUCAUUCUCCUCAUAAGGUUUCAAAAAGCAAGGAAGGUAUGUAUCCUCUCAAAAGAGCAAAAGUAGAAUUAGACUUCCACUAUUGUUAUCACCAUCAUCACCAUACACCAUUCAUUCGCCACACAUGCACAUCUUGAUUUGACUUAUUGAUUUGUUUCUUUGGAUCCAUGGUUUGACUAUACAAUAAAUGUCUUGUAAGUAUGUAUACUUUAUCUCCCACCUAUGAGCUCCAGAUAUUAAAGCCUUAUUAGAGUGGGGUGAGAGAGAAGGCAAUGUCACUAUACCUUAUACCACAAAUACUACAUACUUUUUAAGAGAAGGCAUAUACCAUCACUGCCUUGGUAAGGAUCCAGAAAUACCACAAAAGAGAGAUAUAAGAGAGUCAUACAAGGAAUCUCUAAGUUUUAUUUGAAAAUUGUCGAGGGUAUCAGUAAGGGGUACCCUCAGCGAUGCGCAUUAUGAGAUUGCCCGUACGCAGGUCGAGACCCUCAAUUCGACGCUCUAAUCUUACGUAUGUGCCGCCAUCGACGGCCGCAGCCUCGAAGACGGAAAUAGCGUCGAGCGAAUCGAUCAGGCGUCGAGCGCCGGUUACCGUCGAAUACGGAACAGGCUCAUGCGAACCGGGGGGCGUCGAGCGCGAGGACGCCAUCCGCCGCCUGACGCGCGCACGCGGGCCGGAGCAUUAAAUGCGCCUGAUGCUUCCCCACCUAACGC